UGAGGAAUAUUGGUCAAUGGGCGAGAGCCUGAACCAGCCAAGUAGCGUGCAGGAUGACGGCCCUAUGGGUUGUAAACUGCUUUUAUAUGGGAAUAAAGUGAGGGACGUGUCCCUUAUUGCAUGUACCAUACGAAUAAGGACCGGCUAAUUCCGUGCCAGCAGCCGCGGUAAUACGGAAGGUCCAGGCGUUAUCCGGAUUUAUUGGGUUUAAAGGGAGCGUAGGCUGUUUGUUAAGCGUGUUGUGAAAUGUAAGAGCUCAACUUUUAGAUUGCAGCGCGAACUGGCAGACUUGAGUGCGCACAACGUAGGCGGAAUUCAUGGUGUAGCGGUGAAAUGCUUAGAUAUCAUGACGAACUCCGAUGGCGAAGGCAGCUUACGGGAGCGAAACUGACGCUAAAGCUCGAAGGUGCGGGUAUCGAACAGG
Molecule: ribosomal RNA, 424 nt
Filed under: Verrucomicrobiota bacterium
Lineage: Bacteria; Pseudomonadati; Verrucomicrobiota
Description: Verrucomicrobia bacterium partial 16S ribosomal RNA
Rfam family: Bacterial small subunit ribosomal RNA
Source: RNAcentral